UACAGAGGGAGCAAGCGUUAUCCGGAAUGAUUGGGCGUAAAGCGUCUGUAGGUGGUUUUUUAAGUCUACUGUUAAAUACGUUGGCUCAACCAACGGCAGGCAUUGGAGUACUAAUAAACUAGAGUAGGGUAGAGGUAAAGGGAAUCCCUAGUGUAACAGUGAAAUGUGUAGAUAUUAGGGAGAACACCAGCGGCGAAGGCGCUUUACUGGGCCCCAACUGACACUGAGAGACGAAAGCUAGACCAGCGAAUAGGAUUAGAUACCCUAGUAGUUCUAGCUGUAAACGAUGGGUACUAAGUGUGGAGGGGUUAAACCCUCCGUGCCGCAGCAAACGCAGUAAGUACCCCGCCUGGGGAGUACGGACGCAAGGUUGAAACUCAAAGGAAUUGACGGGGGCCCGCACAAGCGGUGGUGCAUGUGGUUUAAUUCGACGCAACGCGAGGAACCUUACCUAGGCUUGACAUGUGGUCAGUAGCGAACCGAAAGGGGAGCGACCCGUCAAAUCGGGCAAUCACACAGGUGCUGCAUGGCUGUCGUCAGCUCGUGCCGUGAGGUGUUGGGUUCAGUCCCGCAACGAGCGCAACCCUCGCCCUUUGUUGCCAUCGGGUAAAGCCGGGCACUCUAAGGGGACUGCCAGCGACAAGUUGGAGGAAGGAGAGGAUGACGUCAAGUCAUCAUGGCCUUUAUGCCUAGGGCCACACACGUGCAACAAUGGCCGGUACAGACGGAGGCAAUGCCGAGAGGCGGAGCAAACCCGAGAAAACCGGUCCCAGUUCGGAUUGAGGUCUGCAACUCGACCUCAUGAAGUCGGAAUCGCUAGUAAUCGCAUAUCAGAACGAUGCGGUGAAUACGUUCCCGGGCCU
This 863-nucleotide ribosomal RNA is filed under the name uncultured bacterium. Its description in RNAcentral is "bacterial SSU rRNA". It matches the Rfam family "Bacterial small subunit ribosomal RNA", at positions 524 to 1381 of the family's 1533-position model. The record is from RNAcentral.